This 450-nucleotide ribosomal RNA is filed under the name uncultured bacterium. RNAcentral's name for it is "bacterial SSU rRNA". It matches the Rfam family "Bacterial small subunit ribosomal RNA", at positions 354 to 796 of the family's 1533-position model. The record is from RNAcentral.
GUGGGGAAUAUUGGACAAUGGGCGAAAGCCUGAUCCAGCCAUGCCGCGUGUGUGAAGAAGGUCUUCGGAUUGUAAAGCACUUUAAGUUGGGAGGAAGGGCAGUAAGUUAAUACCUUGCUGUUUUGACGUUACCGACAGAAUAAGCACCGGCUAACUUCGUGCCAGCAGCCGCGGUAAUACGAAGGGUGCAAGCGUUAAUCGGAAUUACUGGGCGUAAAGCGCGCGUAGGUGGUUUUGUAAGUUGGAGGUGAAAUCCCCGGGCUCAACCUGGGAACUGCCUCCAAAACUGCAUGACUAGAGUACGUGAGAGGGUAGUGGAAUUGCCUGUGUAGCGGUGAAAUGCGUAGAUAUAGGAAGGAACACCAGUGGCGAAGGCGACUACCUGGACUGAUACUGACACUGAGGUGCGAAAGCGUGGGGAGCAAACAGGAUUAGAAACCCGAGUAGUCC